GACGAACCGAGCGAACGUUAUUCGGAAUAACUGGGCUUAAAGGGCGCGUAGGCGGGCCAUCAAGUCGAGGGUGAAAGCCCCCAGCUCAACUGGGGAAGUGCCUCCGAUACUGGUGGUCUCGAGGGAGAUAGGGGCGUGCGGAACUUCCGGUGGAGCGGUGAAAUGCGUAGAUAUCGGAAGGAACACCGGUGGCGAAAGCGGCGCGCUGGAUCUCUUCUGACGCUGAGGCGCGAAAGCCAGGGGAGCGAACGGG
Molecule: ribosomal RNA, 253 nt
Filed under: uncultured bacterium
Lineage: Bacteria
Description: partial 16S ribosomal RNA
Rfam family: Bacterial small subunit ribosomal RNA
Source: RNAcentral